This 431-nucleotide ribosomal RNA is filed under the name uncultured bacterium. Its description in RNAcentral is "partial 16S ribosomal RNA". It matches the Rfam family "Bacterial small subunit ribosomal RNA", at positions 29 to 507 of the family's 1533-position model. The record is from RNAcentral.
AACGAACGCUGGCGGCAGGCUUAACACAUGCAAGUCGAGCGCCCCGCAAGGGGUGCGGCCGACGGGUGAGUAACGCGUGGGAACGUACCUUUUGGUUCGGAACAACUCCGGGAAACUGGAGCUAAUACCGGAUAAGCCCUAACGGGGAAAGAUUUAUCGCCGAAAGAGCGGCCCGCGUCUGAUUAGCUAGUUGGUGAGGUAACGGCGCACCAAGGCGACGAUCAGUAGAUGGUCUGAGAGGAUGAUCAGCCACACUGGGACUGAGACACGGCCCAGACUCCUACGGGAGGCAGCAGUGGGGAAUAUUGGACAAUGGGCGCAAGCCUGAUCCAGCCAUGCCGCGUGAGUGAUGAAGGCCUUAGGGUUGUAAAGCUCUUUUGUCCGGGAAGAUAAUGACUGUACCGGAAGAAUAAGCCCCGGCUAACUUCGUG